CGUGUAGGCGGCUUGGCAAGUCGGUUGUGAAAUCCCUUGGCUUAACCAAGGAACUGCAACCGAUACUGAGAGACUUGAGUGCAGGAGAGGAAAGCGGAAUUCCCGGUGUAAGAGUGAAAUCUGUAGAGAUCGGGAGGAACACCAGUGGCGAAGGCGGCUUUCUGGUCUGCAACUGACGCUGAAAUGCGAAAGCUAGGGGAGCAAACAGGAUUAGAUACCCUGGUAGUCC
Molecule: ribosomal RNA, 229 nt
Filed under: uncultured bacterium
Lineage: Bacteria
Description: partial 16S ribosomal RNA
Rfam family: Bacterial small subunit ribosomal RNA
Source: RNAcentral